Molecule: long non-coding RNA, 10242 nt
Filed under: Homo sapiens (human)
Lineage: Eukaryota; Metazoa; Chordata; Mammalia; Primates; Hominidae
Description: non-protein coding MIR29B2CHG:86
Rfam family: mir-29 microRNA precursor family (bases 3215-3285)
Source: RNAcentral
AGCUUUCUAAAAUCUCUUUAGGGGUGUGCGUAGGCUCCUGUGUCUAUGCCUGCUUUUGACUGCCCAGUUGAAGCCUCUUCCUAUGCCUUUUAAAAUUUCACGCACUAUAAGGAGGAAGAGCUCAGGGCUCCCAAAACUUUUUAUUUAGAGGGAAGAAUGCUAGGGAGAUGGGUAUGCAGAGGGUUGACCAAAUUGGAAGAAAAUAUUUAUUCUGUAGUUUGGUGUUGGAAAAGGGAAUUUUCCAAUCAGCCACACCUCAGUGUUGCGGCAAAAUAAUUCUUGGCUCCCCUGGAAACGCAUGGGCAAGGUAGGGCAGAGCUGCUGCUGCUGAUACUGCCACCACCCUGGGCUUCCUGCUGACUCUGGGCUACUCCCUGGGGACAACAGAUUUGCAUUGACGUCCGGGGCUGUCCAGAGGCCCUCAAGAGCCAGUUGUGAGCUGAGCCCAGUAUGGGAAAGAUCUACCUUCUGGAAGCUACUACUACGUGGUGCUUGGAAAGAGGACUCAGGAGAGUGCAGCUUGCUCUGUGAGUGGGUGACAACCUCUUGGCGACUCAGGCUCAGCUGAGGAUGGUGCCAGUGUGCCGGAGACAGCCGUCAUACUGCCGGAUAGAGUGGCUCACUUGCAUGUAUUUGGAACAAAAAAAGGAGAUGCCUGGCAGCCCCGCUCUCUGCAGUGCUGUUGAGCCACCAAUUUUUGUGGUUUUGUGACCACAAGUGCUGACUGAUGCGACAUGACCCCAGUCUUGUCAGUGAAUCAUCACCAGGCUGCUUACUGGAAACUGGAUGCAGCAAGGAAAUAGGAUUUAACCGCUCUCUGCCUCCCAGGCCCCUCUCUCACCAAGAUGAGCUCUUCCUUGCUGCCAGGAGCCCUGAAAUCAGCAUUCCCAGAGGAAAGAAGAUGGCCAUCUGGGCUUGGCUUCCGGCUCCCCCCAUCUGGCUGGAACACACAUCAGUCACGUUUCCUGCCCAAGCCCUCCGAGCAUUUGAAUGUGCUGUGAGCAGCCUACCUCAGCCUCCUCUCUUUACACAUGAAGACACUGAGGCCCAUUCAGGGCAAGUGGCAGGUCCCUGUUCUCAGAGUUGGGGCCAAGCAGAGAGUAAAGAGUUAAAUUUUAGAAUCCAGGAGUGGGGACCCAGACUGUGGCUUCUGUUAACUCCCUCAGUGGCAGUGGCGUCCUGCUAUGCACAGCCCCUCUGCUGUACUCCGAAUGGUCCCUUACGGGUAGCAGGAGAGACAUUAAAUAAUCACACUGAUGACCAAGUGAGAUAAGUGGUUUUUGAAGGAAAGAACUUGAGGCUGGCGAGGACCACUUAACCUUCUAGCAAGGGCUGGACUCAGGGAGGCUUUCCUGAGCUGCGGGGAGGAUGACAGGUUCCCUGGAGUGGUGGUGGGUGGGGGCGGGGCUGAGGGGUGGUAGCCAAGGGAGGGUGAAGGAGAGUAUUCCAGAAGAGACAACAGCUUAGGCAGGCAGGACCUCGCCAUGGAGGAAGGUGCUUUCUGAUCACUGCGGGACACCUGUGUGAUAGCUCAUAGGGAGGGGGUACUGGUAACUAAAAGUUGAUAAGGAAGAGUGGCUAAAAUGAAAAGCAGAAAAGUGAGAAUCUCAUCAAAUCCCCUCAUUUGACAGGAUUUGGACUCCCAGUAGUAACUGUCCUUAAACACUCACUCCUGACCUUACAACCCUGGCUGUUACCUGGUUAACAAGCCCCAGGUGUUGGCUACAGGUGUCAUCACUGAGAGCCCUUGUGUGCAGAUCUGCCCCAGCUCUCCCACCUGUGACUGAGGCUAGCAAGUCCCCCGUGGGCUGUAGAGCCUAGCGCUGGUGUCAGAAUCGCUUGUUGCAGGUUCAUCUUCAGUGUCUUUCCCACAGCCACAUGCUGGGGAAAGACGGCAAAGGCGCUAGAGGAGCAGGAGAACAAAGCAAGCUGCCCCAGACCACCCGGCUUUCGCAGAACCCAGAUGAUGCUCCUGUCUCCCCCUAAGUAUAACGUGUUAUGUAGUCAGUAUGAUCCCAUUCAGUGCAGAAGUAUCGCCUAGGAAUUUCCUGCCCCACCCACCCUGUUUUGUUCUUAAUGAAGUUCAAGAACAAAAUGAGAUGAUAGUCAAGUUAUGGAGCAGGCUGCAGUGGAUACAAGGGCAGAAACACAGUCUUUGGAGUUAGACCUGGGAUCUGCAUUGAUUGGUUGUGUGACUGCAGACAAGUUAUUUAGCCUCAUUAAGGAUGAAUUUCUUCGCAAAAAUUGGAAUAAUACCUGCCCCAUACGACUGUUGUGAGAAUUAAACACCGCAACUUUUGAUGUUCAAAUUCUAUUUCUUCUCCUUCUAGCAACACAUACUGUUAGUGCCAGGAACCAUAAAAAUUAUAAGGCUGUAUCUAGAGGCCUGAAAGGAAGCUAAAAUAUACAGUGUCUACUCUGUCUCUUUUCUCUUGGUUAUGGUAUCAGAGGAAAUACACAUAUUUUCUUAGCUUCAAACCACCAAAAAAGAUGAUGCAGUAAGGAGAUGGGAAAUCUAAUUUGGAAUACAGUGUGCAAAUCUUAUUUUCAAGCAGACUUUGAAAAUAAAACUCAAUUCUUACGUUAGAGGAUUAUCUGCUUAAUACAAUUAUAGGGUACCAGUUUUUGAAGUCACAUCGGGGUUAAAUAAGAUUGCAGGUUCAUGGGGUCAUAUUUGAAUGUUCUGAUACUUACAUAUGGGGUGGGAAGGAGGAAUGCAUGCUUUUCUCAAGUUAAGACACAUAAAAGAGUUGUCCUGGCCCAGGUGAGACUCGCCUUUGUGUAGCAGCUGGAGCUUCAUUCCACAGGCAGAUAGGGUGCUUGUGUCCUGAUGAAGUAAGAGAAUAUAUCUGGAAACACUUUGUGUACUGUGAAAUACUAUACAAAUGCAGGGCAGUACAAAUGUAAAUAUUAAUGUAUUUUAGUAAUAAUUUUAGCUUUUAUUUCAUCAUAUAUAAUAAUUUGUAGUGACUGGUGUGAAGUUAAAUAGAAUUAACCUAGAAUUAAUGAGUUUUGUAUUGCUCUCAUCUAUUUGAAGCAUCAGCUGUGCCUUUCAUGUUGCCUUGUGCAGCCCUGUGUAACCUCCUCUGUGCCUUUCCCAUGGAGCACUGUGUCAUAUCACAAGUAGAACUACAAGAAGAUAUUUCUCCUCAGGGCAGAGGCUGGGUCUUCCGAUUGAAUCUCCCUUCUUUCUUCAUUGAGAUCCUCUUCUUCUGGAAGCUGGUUUCACAUGGUGGCUUAGAUUUUUCCAUCUUUGUAUCUAGCACCAUUUGAAAUCAGUGUUUUAGGAGUAAGAAUUGCAGCACAGCCAAGGGUGGACUGCAGAGGAACUGCUGCUCAUGGAACUGGCUCCUCUCCUCUUGCCACUUGAGUCUGUUCGAGAAGUCCAGGGAAGAACUUGAAGAGCAAAAUACACUCUUGAGUUUGUUGGGUUUUGGGAGAGGUGACAGUAGAGAAGGGGGUUGUGUUUAAAAUAAACACAGUGGCUUGAGCAGGGGCAGAGGUUGUGAUGCUAUUUCUGUUGACUCCUAGCAGCCAUCACCAGCAUGAAUGUGUUCGUAGGGCCUUUGAGUGUGGCGAUUGUCAUAUUCUGUUGGAUAACAAUGUAUUGGGUGUCGAUUGUCAUGGGGCAGGGGAGAGGGCAGUACACCUGGAGGACCAUUUUGUCCACAUCGACACCAUCAGUCUGCUCUUAGAGGAUGCCCUGGAGUAUUCGGCGUUGAUUGCGGGGCACCCGAAAUCAGACUUGCCACCUGGACUGUCGAGGUGCAGACCCUGGGAGCACCACUGGCCCAUCUCUUACACAGGCUGACCGAUUUCUCCUGGUGUUCAGAGUCUGUUUUUGUCUAGCACCAUUUGAAAUCGGUUAUGAUGUAGGGGGAAAAGCAGCAGCCUCGAAGCCUCAUGCCAACUCUGGGCAGCAGCAGCCUGUGGUUUCCUGGAAGAUGGAUGGGCAGAGAAUAGGGAAGGAAGAUCAUGCUUUUCCCUACUAACUUCUGUAACUGCAUGUAUGAUACAUUAUUGCAGAGGUAAGAGAUAGUUUAAUGGAUUUUUAAAAACAAAUUACUAUAAUUUAUCUGAUGUUCUCUAGUUGCAUUUUGCUGAAAUGUAGUGCUGUUCUAAAUUCUGUAAAUUGAUUGCUGUUGAAUUAUCUUUCUGUUGAGAAGAGUCUAUUCAUGCAUCCUGACCUUAAUAAAUACUAUGUUCAGUUUAUCAUGUCUGUGUUUUUCAUCUAUUAUUUCCCAUUCAUAAUUCUGUGAUGAUAAGAAGUGGGUCCUGAAAAAUUAAUUGGCUGUGCAGAUCUUGCCUACUUCAUAAAGAAUUUGAAGUAGGUUACAGCCAGCCAGACAUUAAAAAUGAAGCCCAUUAAGAGAAGAAUGAAAUUCUAUGAGCCAAGAAAUAAAAUGAGAGAAAAGAUUAGGGAAGAGAAGAAAUGUUGAAGAUCAAGGCUGAGGGAUGCUCCCUACUGAAUGGGAAAACUCCUUAGUUCCACAUGGGCUGUAGACACAGCCCUUCUGCCAGCAACUGUUCCUGCAAGGAACUGGUGCUCAACUAAACAUACUGUCACAUGGUUCCUUGAAGGGGCACAGCACUGAUUUCACUUGCAUUAUAAAAGAUUGAGUGGUGCUUUUGACUAUUAGUUUAUGUCAACACUUCAAAACAAGAUGAGCCAGUUUUUUUUUGUUUUUUUUUUUUGUUUGUUUGUUUGUUUUAGACGGAGUCUCACCCUGUCACCCAGGCUGGAGUGCAAUGGCACUGUCCCCGCUCACUGCAACCUCCGCCUCCCGGGUUCAAGCAAUUCUGCCUCAGCCUUCCGAGUAGCUGGGAUUACAGGCGUGGCACCUCCACGCCCAGCUAAUUUCUGUAUUUUGUAGUAGAGACGGGGUUUCAUCAUGUUGGCCAGGCUUGUCUCGAACUGCUGACCCCGUGAUCCACCCACCUCAGCCUCCCAAAGUGCUGGGAUUACAGGCGUGAACCACCUCGCCUGGCCCAGUGAGCCAGUUUUGUAAAGCUAUUCAGAGAUUAGCCAGAUUUGAUUUGAUAGGGGAUCAAGCUUGUAGGAUCUUCAGGAAGGCGGGCUGUGGCCCCUUGAUCAGGCUUUUUGCACAGGAGGUGCAUGACUAUGAACUACCCUCAGUAGAACUCUUUUAAGCCAGUGGCUUGCAAUAAAUGAUGGCAAAUCAGCCACCUAGGAAGCCAUUUCUAAGCCCAACCCCCUGCCACAGUCUUCCUCUAGAUGGCUGCCCUGCCCAGUGGGCUGAGAGUGGGGGGCGGAAGUAGCAUUUGCUGGGAAGACUUGCCAGUACAUAUGUUGCACCCCCUCACUGCAGCUGCAGUGCUAUUUCAGGCUGUUGAUGGAAGAACCCAUGUUCUAAUCCCCAGGAUGUGGUGGGAAGACCCUAAGUGGUGGUGUUAGUUAAGACCCUAAGUUAUAUUGUUUUGUUCACUUCCCACUGAGAUAGGCUACAAUAGUAUUAAAUACCUAUAGGUCAGACAUUUUUGGGGUCUGUUGUACUACCUACCAAUUAAACAGUUUUUGAUCCGCCCACCACGCUCAAAGCUCCAGCCUAGGUGUUGCAAAUACAGACGACAGAUUUUUGCUCUCAGGAGGCCCUGAUUCCAGUCCUCAAACGAGUAAGUGUGAAAUUGAGUGCAGCAUUAAAGCACAAAAACAAUGAUUUGAGACGUCUUUUCUAUAAAAGAAGUUUAUAGCACUCUCAUUGAAUGCUUAAAUAGUGCCACACUGCUAAGUCGUGAGAAGCAAAAUGUAACUGCGGUGCCUCAAACAGGAUUAUUUUGUUUUAUUCAUUUGGAUGCGGACAGCUCUUUAUCUAAAAUUGCCAUUCUGAGGUGGUUUUGCACAAUAAAUUGGUAAUUAUGUAGACUGUUUCUUCCAGAGACAGCAUCUUGAAUCGGGUUUAUGAAGCCAUGCUAUCAACCUAGGUAGAAAAUGCUUUGUAGGACAUGGGUCCUGCUUAUCUAAAUUUUACCAGAUUUUAUUAGCUGUAAAUUUAUAAGCGGGUCUUGGUGAAUAGAUAAUGAAAAAAAUAUUGAGUGGGGAGGCUUAUUAGACUGACAGCACCUUCAAGACUCAUGCAAGUUGGACUGGAAAAUCCCACCUGUGGAAGUAAAACACUGAUGAGUCCUUAAUAAAUAUGGAUGAGACAAGUCAAAUAUUUGGCCAAUUUAGGUGAAACAGAAAUAAGUCUAGAACUGGACAAUUAUUUGUGUAACAUACUGGCCCAGACCUUCACUUUGAGAAGCUGGUGUGUAGUUUCAGGAGAGUACCUGGCAGACUAGUGUGUCCAUACUUCGAUGGAGCUUGAGAGUUUUCCUUGAACACAAAAGUUGUAUUUUUGAGUUUAUUCUAGUAUGAUGGUGCCCUACCCUAUCUUCCUAUUCAGUUCACCCAAAGAGCCUUUAAAUUAGUGUUCCCUUGGUCCCAUCCCUACAGUCUCUGGUUUUGCUGGUCUGGGAAUGGGUCUGGACAUCACUGUUGUUUUAAAGUUGAGAGCCUCUCUUCUGUGGUCUUGUUCCUAAAACGCUUUACUACUCACUGUGGUCUGAGGGCCCCCAGCACUGGUGUGUUAGUUUCCUGUGGCUGCCCUAAAAAAUUACCACAAACAUGGUGUCUUAAAACAACACACAUUUGUACAGUUACAGAUUCCAGAAGCCUGCAAUCAGCUCACUGGACUGCAAGGGCCACCCGCCCUCUCAGAAGCGCCGGGAGAGAACAGGUUUUCUUGCCUUCUUCAGCUGCUAGAGCUGCGUUCUUUGGCUUGCACCCCCUUCCUCUGUCUUCCAAGCCAGCGGGGCAGUCUUUUGCUUCAGUGGCCAUGUUGUCUUCUGGCACAGUCACAUCUCCCCCUGCCUCCCUCUUAGAAGGACCCUUGUGGUUACAUUUAGGGCCCCCACCUGGAUAAUCCAGGAUAAUCUCCCUAUUUCAAUUUUCUUAAUCUCAUCUGUAAAGACCCUUUUGCCAUAUAAAGUAACAUUCACAGGUUCCAGGUAUUAGGACUUGGAUAUCUUUAGAGGCCAUCAUACAGCCCACCACAAACAGCUCCUUAGGCACUCAUUAGAAAUGCAGAACCUCAGGCCCCAACCGAUACCUUUUGAAUCUUCUGAUUCUAAUUUAAGAAGAUCACCAUGUAACUCACUAGCACACUAAGACUUGAGAAGCACGAUGCUAUGGGAACCUAACCAAAGAAUUCUCAAGUCCCAACUUAAAUACAAAUUUACAGAGUAUUUUUCCUAGGAACGCUUUCAGGUGGAGGAGAUUAAUCAGACGAUAGAUAAUUUUCCUGAACACCAUUCUGAAGUGCUUCUCUAAGCAUUUGUUCCUGAAUUCUCUCUCAAUGAAGCCACAAGCCCCAAACACCAGGAUUACUGUUUACAGGGGUUCCUGUUUACAGUAGUUUAGCACAGGGUUUGCCACACUGCAGCAUAUUAUUAUAGUUUAGUUUUGUAAAAAGCUACAUGAGAGAGGUAAAUCUUAUAAAUGGAGGUGGAGUCUCCUAACACCAGUUUUACCACCUCUGUACAGGUUUCCCUGGGCUAUGUACUAUCGAAUCAGGAAUCAGGAAGGGCGGCUUUUUCAAAUGUUAUCUAUACUUUUGGCAAUUUGUUCAAACGUUCUGCUGGUAUGUGAGAGGGAAGGAAAAAUUGUUUAUUGACCACAGAUCCACAAUAUUAUACUUCUCCUAUACUUAAGCAAUAAGGGACAGCAUUUAAAACUCUUUUAAAAAUGUUAAUCUUGGCUGGGCACAGUGGCUCAUGCCUGGAUCCCCAGUAAUUUGGAACACUGAGGCAGGCAGAUUGCUUGAGGCCAGGAGUUCGAGACUAGCUUGGGCAACAUGCGAGAGCCCGUCUCUACAAAAAAAAAAAAAAAAUACAAAAAUUAUCCAGGCAUGGUGGUGCACACCUGUAGUCCCAGCUGUUGGGGAAAGCUAAGUUGGGAGGAUCCCUUGAACCCAGGAGGUUGAGGCUGCAGUAAGCUGUGAUUGAGCCACUGAGCUCCAGCCUGGGUGACAGAGCGAGAUCCUGUGUCAAAAAAUAAUUUUGAUUUCACGGAAGGAGAAGAGGACUAGUCUUAUACCAUAUCCCAAAUGAAAUUGAAAAUGUCUUCUGGGAAUCACAGCAAUGACUCAAACUUCUGAAUAGUGACUAGGUUUGAGCUGGUAAGGAAGGGAUUGUCAAAUGCCGUGACAGUCCACAGGAGGGCAGCAGUGCUCCGAUUUACAAAGGAUUAGUCAUACUAGUGUAACCUUUUCUGAGUGAGCCUAGAAAUUCUGAUGAAAACAGUGUAGUCCAGGAAAAAAAAAAAAAAAAUCUGUAUGUACAAUCACUCAAUUUUGAAUCAUUUCUGGAAGUUAUUAGACUCCAUGUUAAAUCCUACUUAAGUACAAGUAUGCAAAAUUUAAAAAUAUGCAGAAAAGCUCAUUCUUGGUUAAAAUGUUAGCUGAAAGACAUUACUAAGUUUUAGAAUACCAUAGAGUUGACUAUUUCCCACAAACCCUAAAAUCUACUUGAACACCACAAAUUCAUAUUCCUUCUAAUCCCAAGUCCCUUCAGCAUUCUUACAGAUUUAUUGUUAGUUACCUUACAAAGUAACUAACUGUCCCCAUGUAUUUUAUCCCAAUUUAAAAAAUACAUUACAGUCUCAAGGUCACAUAAGAUUUUCCAAAAUGCUCUAUUCAUAGUCAAUAUAAUUUUCAGGCCGGGUGCGGUGGCUCAUGCCUGUAAUCCCAGCACUUUGGGAGGCCAAGGUGGGCGGAUCACCUGAGGUUGGGAGUUCGAGACCAGCCUGACCAACAUGGAGAAACCCCGUCUCUACUAAAAAUACAAAAUUAGCCAGACGCGGUGGUGCAUGCCUGUAAUCCCAGCUACUCAGGAGGCUGAGUCAGGAGAAUCGCUUGAACCCAGAAGGUGGAAGCUGUGGUGAGCCGAGAUAGUGCCAUUGCACUCCAGCCUGGGCAACAAGAUCGAAACUCCAUCUCAAAAUAUGUGUGUGUGUGUGUGUGUGUGUGUGUGUGUGUGUGUAUAUAUAUAUAUAUAUAUAUACACACACACACAUAUAUAUAUAAUUUUCACCUAGUGUUUUAUUAAACAGAAUGCUUCUGUAUUUUUAUGUUUAUUUGAGACAAUGCUUCUGUAUUUCUAAACAACAGCUAGCCUUGUUCAGUUAGCCAAACAACAAAACCUUAAUUCAAGUCUUCAAUGAAAUUUUCUGAUUUAAUAGGCUGAAUUAAGAAAGCCAUAAUUUUCUUCUAUAAAUAUAAGCCUUUAACUUCUAUCUUUACAAGUUUAUAUAGAAAAAUUUACUGUGGGGCUUGAGAUUUACUAAUGCAUGGGUUUUCAACCUUAGCUGCACUUUGGAAUCAUUUAGGACGCUUGGAAAUCCCUACACCCAAACCACAUCCCAGAUCAAUUACACUAGAAAUCUCUAGGGGUGGGACCCAGGUGUCUGUAAAUAUCCCCCGGUGAUUGCAAUGUGCAGCCAUGGUUGAGAAACACUGAAGCCUGCUCUGAGAAAUUUAGCAAUCCGACUUAAUUCAAAUCUGCAGAGAGAGCAACAAUGAUUUUUGCAGAAACAACCAAAUCCUACUAGUUACAUAAAUUUUAUACUUUGUUAGGACUUGGGUUUUUAUUUAGCUCUACAUAUGCGAUCAUAGGAUGCAGAAGAUAUAUCUUCUACUGGACACGUAUAUAUAGAUGCUUAAAUGUGGCUAUCCCAAGGUUAGGUAAUAAUAAAGACUAUAAGAGCUGGGCAGAAAUCAGGCACAGUUUCAUGAAGGGUAAUAUCUGAGCUGGGCCUUGGAAGAUGCAUAGGAUCUCAACAGGACAGUAGGUGUUUCAAGCAACAAUGAACUAGGAAUACAGCAGAAAGCACAGGGGAAAUGGUCAGGCUUGACUGAGAGUAGGUUAUUUGAAGAAGUGCAAUAGAAAAUGCUUGGGGAAGAAAGUUGGGAUUUAAUUGUAAAAGGUCUUCAAGUAUCAGGCUAAGAAAUGUGGACUUCAUCCAGUAGGUAAUGUGAUGUCACUGGAUAUCUGUGCAGUAUCUAUGUGAUGGGUUGGGAGUGGAGAAGCCUGGGGAUACUUAAGGGUCUGAGCUAGGAGGGACAGGAGGAAUGGCUGUGGGAGUGGAAUGGUUAGAAGAUGGGCCCAAUUAGAAACAUACUUCAAUUUGAGACAAAACCCACUAGAAAUAAACACAUCAUCAUGAAACAUCUCCAAAUGUACAAU